Molecule: long non-coding RNA, 702 nt
Organism: Mya arenaria
Lineage: Eukaryota; Metazoa; Mollusca; Bivalvia; Myida; Myidae
Exons: 3
Source: RefSeq, a predicted model, not a curated record
GUGUUGAAAUUGUCUUGUAGGUGGGUAAAUUUCAAAUUCCAAUUCCGUUGUUUGGGGGGCAAAUUCGUAUUUUAAUUGUGUUGUUGGUGGGUCUUUUCUUCGUAAGAGCCCAAAAAUGAGGUAUAAAUUUGUUUUAAAAUGACAUUUUAUGCGUACUUUGCGCGAUCGAAAACGGCAUUUUGGUACGAAAUAAACGAGUCCGAAUGCUAUUCUCACGACGCGGCUAUUCUUACGGUAACACCAUGGAGGCUAUGAGUGUUUCAGACGUGCGCCAGUUUUUGAUGGAGCGUAACCUAAGCUCGCUAACCACGACCUUUGAAGCUCUGACACUUACAUGUAGAAGAAAAUUAGUCUGACAGAAAAUCUGAUUGAUGGCGAAGCAUUGCUUUCUGUGAUGGAAGAUCACAUUUUGUUGAAGGAAUUAAUACCUGAAGUGGGGUUGAGAGCAAAACUGAGGCGUAAAAUAAAAAAGAAGACUUGAGAGUUUUACUGAAUGACAUGAACAAAUACUAAUUUCAAUUGUGUUGUAGGGUGGUGUUGAGUUUAAUCUAAAUGUGGUGCUGGUGGGUCUAUUACCUAUUUUAAUUCUGUUGGUGGGGGGUGUAAAAGCAGUUAAAAUUGUGUUGGUGGUGCCCCAUUUUUGGACUGUCGUUCUUGCCCCCCCAGGCCUUUUUUCCUGGAACAGCCCUAAAGCAAAUUGGC